AUAGCGUAUAUUAAAGUUGUUGCAGUUAAAAAGCUCGUAGUUGAAUUUUGGACCUGGCUGGGUGGUCUUGCCGCAAGGUUAGCACUGCUCUGGUCGGGUCUUUCCUUCUGGGGAACCUGUGUGCUCUUAAUUGAGUGCGCAGGGGAGCCAGGACUUUUACUUUGAAAAAAUUAGAGUGUUUAAAGCAGGCUUACGCCUGAAUACAUUAGCAUGGAAUAAUAGAAUAGGACUUUGGUUCUAUUUUGUUGGUUUCUAGGACCGAAGUAAUGAUUAAUAGGGAUAGUUGGGGGCAUUAGUAUUUAAUUGUCAGAGGUGAAAUUCUUGGAUUUAUGAAAGACUAACUUCUG
This 347-nucleotide ribosomal RNA is filed under the name uncultured eukaryote. RNAcentral's name for it is "SSU rRNA". It matches the Rfam family "Eukaryotic small subunit ribosomal RNA", at positions 594 to 945 of the family's 1831-position model. The record is from RNAcentral.